This 913-nucleotide ribosomal RNA is filed under the name uncultured marine archaeon. Its description in RNAcentral is "bacterial SSU rRNA". It matches the Rfam family "Archaeal small subunit ribosomal RNA", at positions 1 to 921 of the family's 1478-position model. The record is from RNAcentral.
UUCCGGUUGAUCCUGCCGGACCUGACUGCUAUCGGAUUGAUACUAAGCCAUGCGAGUCUUUGUAGUAAUACAAGGCAUACGGCUCAGUAACGCGUAGUCAACCUACCCUAUGGACAAGAAUAAUCUCGGGAAACUGAGCAUAAUUCUUGAUAGAUCAUAAUGCCUGGAAUGGUUUAUGGUUAAAAUGAUUCGUCGCCAUAGGAUGGGACUGCGGCCUAUCAGCUUGUUGGUGAGGUAAUGGCCCACCAAGGCGAUUACAGGUACGGGCUCUGAGAGGAGAAGCCCGGAGAUGGGUACUGAGACAAGGACCCAGGCCCUAUGGGGCGCAGCAGGCGAGAAAACUUUGCAAUGUGCGAAAGCACGACAAGGUUAGUCCGAGUGAUUUCUGCUAAAGAGAUCUUUUGCUAGUCAUAAAACCACUAGUGAAUAAGGGGUGGGCAAGUUCUGGUGUCAGCCGCCGCGGUAAAACCAGCACCUCAAGUGGUCAGGAUGAUUAUUGGGCCUAAAGCAUCCGUAGCCGGCUCUGUAAGUUUUCGGUUAAAUCUAUGCGCUCAACGUAUGGGCUGCCGAAAAUACUGCAGAGAUAGGGAGUGGGAGAGGUAGACGGUACUCGGUAGGAAGGGGUAAAAUCCUUUGAUCUAUCGAUGACCACCUGUGGCGAAGGCGGUCUACCAGAACACGUUCGACGGUGAGGGAUGAAAGCUGGGGGAGCAAACCGGAUUAGAUACCCGGGUAGUCCCAGCUGUAAACGAUGCAGACUCGAUGAUGCAUUGGCAUAUAGCCAGUGCAGUGUCGCAGGGAAGCCGUUAAGUCUGCCGCCUGGGAAGUACGUACGCAAGUAUGAAACUUAAAGGAAUUGGCGGGGGAGCACCACAAGGGGUGAAGCCUGCGGUUCAAUUGGAGUCAACGCCGG